AUUGUAGGCUGCAACUCGCCUACAUGAAGUCGGAAUUGCUAGUAAUCGCGGAUCAGCAUGCCGCGGUGAAUACGUUCCCGGGCCUUGUACACACCGCCCGUCACACCAUGGGAGUUGGUAACACCCGAAGCCUGUAGCCUAACCGCAAGGAGGGCGCAGUCGAAGGUGGGAUUGAUGACUGGGGUGAAGUCGUAACAAGGUACC
RNAcentral lists this ribosomal RNA (204 nucleotides) under uncultured bacterium. Its description in RNAcentral is "partial 16S ribosomal RNA". It matches the Rfam family "Bacterial small subunit ribosomal RNA", at positions 1297 to 1500 of the family's 1533-position model. The record is from RNAcentral.